RNAcentral lists this ribosomal RNA (620 nucleotides) under Rhodanobacter sp. RNAcentral's name for it is "bacterial SSU rRNA". It matches the Rfam family "Bacterial small subunit ribosomal RNA", at positions 124 to 741 of the family's 1533-position model. Lineage: Bacteria; Pseudomonadati; Pseudomonadota; Gammaproteobacteria; Lysobacterales; Rhodanobacteraceae. The record is from RNAcentral.
AUCUACCUGAACGUGGGGGAUAACGUAGGGAAACUUACGCUAAUACCGCAUACGUCCUACGGGAGAAAGCAGGGGACCUUCGGGCCUUGCGCGGUCAGACGAACCGAUGUUCGAUUAGCUAGUUGGUAAGGUAAUGGCUUACCAAGGCGACGAUCGAUAGCUGGUCUGAGAGGAUGAUCAGCCACACUGGGACUGAGACACGGCCCAGACUCCUACGGGAGGCAGCAGUGGGGAAUAUUGGACAAUGGGCGCAAGCCUGAUCCAGCAAUGCCGCGUGUGUGAAGAAGGCCCUCGGGUUGUAAAGCACUUUUAUCAGGAACGAAAUACCACGGGCUAAUACCCUAUGGGGCUGACGGUACCUGAGGAAUAAGCACCGGCUAACUUCGUGCCAGCAGCCGCGGUAAUACGAAGGGUGCAAGCGUUAAUCGGAAUUACUGGGCGUAAAGGGUGCGUAGGCGGUUGUUUAAGUCUGUCGUGAAAUCCCCGGGCUCAACCUGGGAAUGGCGAUGGAUACUGGACAGCUAGAGUGUGUCAGAGGAUGGUGGAAUUCCCGGUGUAGGGUGAAAUGCGUAGAGAUCGGGAGGAACAUCAGUGGCGAAGGCGGCCAUUGGGACAACACU